UAUUGGUGAGGACCGGGUAAUCUGCAUCCUGGGGUUUAAGGUUUAAGUACACGCAAAAAUAUGCGUACGCAUAUAUUUGUGUGUGUUAGUAUAGCUUUUAGACCUCAGGAUGCGGAUUACCUCUUCCUUACAAUACG
Molecule: non-coding RNA, 137 nt
Organism: Brassica rapa (field mustard)
Lineage: Eukaryota; Viridiplantae; Streptophyta; Magnoliopsida; Brassicales; Brassicaceae
Source: RefSeq, marked provisional